CACUGGGCCCCACCAGCCAAUGAACAAAUACUUAGGAGAGGAUCCCCAGCAGAGAUUAAGGAAUGACCCUGUUCUAGGAAAGGAGAUUCAGUGCCUGUUGCAUUAUGUCAUUUUAAUCUUUCUUCUGUCUCAGCCAUCUUUAUUCCAUAUCAUUACUGAUAUUUCUCUGGAUUUCUGUGUCAUCCUGCUUCAUAACAUUUUAUUUAUUUGUUGUACUUACUAAAACUGAGGGGUUUUCAGCAAGUUUUUGUGGAGAUACAGAUUUUAUCUUUUUGAAAAUCUUCGGAUUCAUUGUGUUAAUAUAUGGAAUUUAAUUUGGAAAAAGGAACUUUUUUCCCACAUUGGUAUUAGGGACUCAGAAUUUAUUUAUUUGCCUCUUGUACACUUCCUUUCUUUGUGUUGUAUGCCAAGAUGUUUCUUGUGACCAUUCUGUAAAAGGAUGCAGUAUUUUUUACAGUGUGUUGAACUCCUUAGUUUUAAGGAGGUUUUCUCAAUUUUUCUAUUAAUAUAUAUAGGUCCAAGUUGAUAAGAUUUCACUUGAACUACUGAGCAAGACAGGCUGAAGAUUCUGGUUGUAAGGAUGUGUGAAAAAUCCAAGAGUCUUUGGCAUACAGUUUGUGGGUUGGCAGCAUUUCCAUCUGCCUUGAUCCAACACACAUUUUAAUUUUGUACAAUGAACUGAGUGUAAAUGGAGCUGUGGUGUGAAAUGCUCAGAGUCAGCACUCCUGAAAGCAGCGUAUGUUGAAGUGCAGCAUCUGUGACUACAAAUCUGCCCUUCUGGGACACUGUGCAAAAUGAUGUAACGGAGUGAAAAAGCUCUGCAGAGAUAGAUUUCACCUGCUGUAACUGAGUCUUUGCUGCAAUACUUCACGAGGCCCGGGUGUGAUGCUUUCCUGACUGUGCAGUGGGAUUGUAUUGUAGGAAAAAAGCUGUUGGCAAUAACAGCUGGAAAUCCUGAACCUUUAGUUUGCUGCCCUGCACCUGAGCUGCAGCUCUGCUACAAAGAGGCAACACUAAGGAAAGCCUUUAGUGCUUGGGGGCUAGGAUUCCAAGAGGAAAAUUUUCUUGGCCUUGUUUGGUCAGUCUUUGAGGAUGGCAAGCAAAGGACCCACAACUUCUGCAUCAACAAAGAGCUCCAGUACUGGAGGGACCAGUGGCAGCAGUAGCAGUAAUGGUUCUGGGGACAGCACUAAUCAGGACAACACUUUUGAAUGCAACAUCUGUUUAGACACUGCCAAGGAUGCAGUUAUCAGCUUGUGUGGGCACCUCUUUUGUUGGCCUUGUUUACACCAGUGGCUAGAGACCAGGCCAAACAGACAAGUGUGUCCUGUAUGCAAAGCAGGAAUCAGUCGAGAUAAAGUUAUUCCUCUGUAUGGAAGAGGCAGCACUGGGCAACAGGACCCCAGAGAGAAAACUCCACCACGGCCCCAAGGACAGAGACCUGAACCAGAGAACAGAGGGGGAUUCCAGGGCUUUGGGUUUGGCGAUGGUGGCUUCCAGAUGUCCUUUGGAAUUGGGGCGUUUCCCUUUGGUAUAUUUGCAACAGCCUUCAACAUAAACGAUGGGCGACCUCCUCCAGCUGUUCCAGGGACUCCUCAAUAUGUGGAUGAGCAGUUCCUUUCCCGCCUCUUCCUGUUUGUGGCACUGGUGAUAAUGUUCUGGCUGUUGAUUGCAUAAGUCUUUUCCAUUAUUCUAUAUAUUCAUGACCAACAAGGCCACUGAAACAGUUACAAACUGCAUCCCCAUCCCAUUUUAAACCUCUUGGUGUCUGGUUCCGUAGCUACCUAUGGGCUUCAGGAAUUGGUGGUACCACAGCACAAUGAGGAAUCUCACAUUUUGCACCAGAGUUGGUAAUUAAAACAUUGGUUUAAAAGUGUAUUUCAGCUCAGAUAUCUUGUACAACAGGUUCCUGCCACAAACCAUGGGCUAGCAUUGAGCUGCACUCCGAAAGGGAGUGCUGCUUUGAAAUCCUGUGCCAAUCAGUGACACCAGGUCUGUGGGAUACACAGUUAUCCCAACUCAGACUGGGCAGGUAAGGAAACUUCUCCAGUGUGACCAGUAUCUCCUGCUUUGCAACCACGAUGGAUCUGCCAGAGCUGCAGAUGUUAUUUAAUGUCUCCAUCAACAUCCGACCUUCUCCAGGAAAUCAUCUGCAGCACUGCUGAGACUCUCUGGGGCACAGCACGUGAUGCAAACGGAACCAGGUCUGGAGACUGGUUCCGGUUUCUUUUCCGUCUGUUAUUUCCCGGCGUGAUGGAAAACCCUUCCUGAUGGUUCUGAUGGCUGUUAGAAGAAGGGAUACAAACUUAUGCUGCAAUUUUUUAAAACCUGAGCAUGCUGGAGCCAGACACUGGAAGAUUCUCUGGCUGUGGAGCCAGGUGGGCCGCCGGGCCCAGCCCAGUUCCUCACUGACAAACAGUGUUGUCUUCCCCGGCUCUGUGCAGCACCUGUGCUGCACUCAUGGAUAAUCCCCUCACAGCCUCAUCACUGUAGCCACAUUUAUCUUUCCCAAGGCUUUGAGACUUUCUAUACAAGGUCAUGUACUCCAGAUAAAUCCUAUUACAGAUCUGAGAUCACUUUGUUUGGGGAGAGGAAAAAAAGGCAUAUUUAUGUGAGUUUUGAGGUAAAACUUGUCAUAAUGUGAAGUUACACAGGAGGAGACCUGAGAUCCUGCCUUUGCCAGCAUAUGCUCAGUAGGGAACAUUUGGAAGACCUCCUCUCUGCAGGUGCACACAGACCUUCUCCCGUGCCACAGCAGAGCAGCUACAGCGCAAGAGUCUCUGCAGCUAAAAUCUACCAAAGAUUUUAAUUUGAAGUGCUGGAGGAGACCACAACCAUUAAUGUGCUGAGGGGAUAUUUCAGAAGAUUUUUUUGAUUCCGGUCGCUCAUCGUCAUAAUGAUUUCCUGCAAGGUGAAUGUUGUGACUUUCCUGGCAGUAGACAGAAAAACUGAAAAGCAAAUCAAUUAAUAGAAACUUUGUUUCAAUAGCUUGGGAUUUUUUAGCAUAUGGCAGAGUUUCCUGGGCAGAACACCUCUAAUUAAUUGUUAUAGAAGUUUAUUUAUGUAAUUAUAAACUGUUUCCUUUUAGUGUCAAGACAGAGUAUGACUGAAGUUUAACUUGCCUACCUCCAAAAUUCCAUCUGGCAAGUAGAAUGUUGCAAAGCUUCUGCAGUGCUUUGUCGUGUCAGAUUUAUACCUGACACAAUGAUAAUCUGACAGAAUAUAUUGCUCAACUAUUAUAGUUGAGGUGGUGCUUCAGCUUUUGUUGUGCAACACUUCUGAGUAGCUGAACUUCGGCACAGGGUUCUUCUCAAGUGUGUAACUUGGUAAGUGGGGCCCUUCCCAGGGGGACAGGCUGUUUUGUUUGGUUGUCCUGCAAUGUCCUAGCUUUGGGUUCCUCUCCUGCGCAGUCAGCACCACCUGCUGAUGGGAAGGGAAGGUUCAUGUGUCAGUAAGGGAUGGAUUCCUUCUCCUUUUGUACGGAGAAAUUCGAUGCUGAGAGGUUAUGCAGGGAGAAGAAGGGUAGCCCUUUGAAGCCUUUACCCCAUAAAGAGGACAGAGAGUGACUGCAAUAGAUUCAAGAGGUACUGAAAUAUAUUUAAGUAAUACAUUUUAAACCCCAGAAUUUUAAUGGCUUGGGGGCAGGGAUUUCCAUCUAGGAGUGAGAAACAUAAUGGAUUUAGAGAAGGCUGCAGAAGUAUGGCUGAGAGCUCUUAUUUUCCGGCAAUUCAAGGAUGAAAUAGUCUAAAAGUGUUAACGCUUCGUUCCCCCUUUCCCUGGUGUGCUUUUGUAUGUACCCCUUCCCGUAACCCGACCGCACACGGCCCGGACGGCUCGGUUAGUGCGUUACCGUUCCUCCUCACUAAUUUUCACUGUUGUGAAAGUGAUUUAGAAUUAAAAAAUGGUUUUACAUUGA
Pyrgilauda ruficollis (rufous-necked snowfinch) is the source of this 3916-nucleotide RNA transcript. It is a transcript of the gene named ring finger protein 185, with no coding region annotated. The record is from RefSeq and is a predicted model, not a curated record. NCBI's taxonomy places the organism in Eukaryota, Metazoa, Chordata, Aves, Passeriformes, Passeridae. The transcript is spliced from 8 exons.